AUUGAACGCUGGCGGCAGGCCUAACACAUGCAAGUCGAACGGUAACAGGAAACAGCUUGCUGUUUCGCUGACGAGUGGCGGACGGGUGAGUAAUGCCUGGGAAACUGCCUGAUGGAGGGGGAUAACUACUGGAAACGGUAGCUAAUACCGCAUAACGUCGCAAGACCAAAGAGGGGGACCUUCGGGCCUCUUGCCAUCGGAUGUGCCCAGAUGGGAUUAGCUAGUAGGUGGGGUAACGGCUCACCUAGGCGACGAUCCCUAGCUGGUCUGAGAGGAUGACCAGCCACACUGGAACUGAGACACGGUCCAGACUCCUACGGGAGGCAGCAGUGGGGAAUAUUGCACAAUGGGCGCAAGCCUGAUGCAGCCAUGCCGCGUGUAUGAAGAAGGCCUUCGGGUUGUAAAGUACUUUCAGCGGGGAGGAAGGGAGUAAAGUUAAUACCUUUACUCAUUGACGUUACCCGCAGAAGAAGCACCGGCUAACUCCGUG
This 490-nucleotide ribosomal RNA is filed under the name uncultured bacterium. RNAcentral describes it as "partial 16S ribosomal RNA". It matches the Rfam family "Bacterial small subunit ribosomal RNA", at positions 30 to 507 of the family's 1533-position model. The record is from RNAcentral.